UGCGUUCUAUCAGCUUGUUGGUGGGGUAACGGCUCACCAAGGCAAUGACGGAUAGCUGGUCUGAGAGGAUGGUCAGCCACACUGGGACUGAGACACUGCCCAGACUCCUACGGGAGGCUGCAGUCGAGAAUCAUUCGCAAUGCGCGCAAGCGUGACGAUGCGACGCCGCGUGGAGGAUGACGGCCUUCGGGUUGUAAACUCCUGUCAUGAGGGAACAAAGCUUGCGGGUUAAUACCCCGGNGAGUGUGAUGGUACCUCAAGAGGAAGUCACGGCUAACUCUGUGCCAGCAGCCGCGGUAAUACAGAGGUGGCAAGCGUUGUCCGGAUUUACUGGGCGUAAAGGGUGCGUAGGCGGUACGGUAUGUCGGAUGUGAAAUCUCGCAGCUCAACUGUGAAACGUCAUUCGAAACUGCCGAACUAGAGUACUGGAGAGGAGAGCGGAAUUCUUGGAGUAGUGGUGAAAUGCGUAGAUAUCAAGAAGAACACCGGUGGCGAAGGCGGCUCUCUGGACAGUUACUGACGCUGAGGUACGAAAGCCAGGGGAGCGAAGAGGAUUAGAUACCCUCGUAGUCCUGGCAGUAAACGAUGUGCACUUGGUGUGGGGAGGAGUUAUCCCCUUUCCGUACCGGAGUUAACGCGUUAAGUGCACCGCCUGGGGAGUACGGCCGCAAGGCUAAAACUCAAAGGAAUUGACGGGGGCCCGCACAAGCGGUGGAGCAUGUGGCUUAAUUCGAUGCAACGCGAAGAACCUUACCUGGGUUUGACAUGCCCGUCGUAUUCUCCUGAAAGGGAGAAGUCAGUUCGGCUGGACGGUGCACAGGUGCUGCAUGGCUGUCGUCAGCUCGUGCCGUGAGGUGUUGGGUUAAGUCCCGCAACGAGCGCAACCCUUGUGUUUAGUUGCCACUCCCGAUUCUGUCGGGAAGCACUCUAGACAGACUGCCCGUGACAAGCGGGAGGAAGGAGGGGAUGACGUCAAGUCAGUAUGGUCCUUAUACCCAGGGCUGCACACGUGCUACAAUGGCCGGUACAGAGGGCGGCGACGCCGCGAGGCGAAGCAAAUCCCCAAAACCGGUCUUAGUUCGGAUCGCAGUCUGCAAUUCGACUGCGUGAAGUUGGAAUCGCUAGUAAAUGCGUAUCAGCAAUGGCGC
RNAcentral lists this ribosomal RNA (1148 nucleotides) under uncultured organism. RNAcentral's name for it is "bacterial SSU rRNA". It matches the Rfam family "Bacterial small subunit ribosomal RNA", at positions 232 to 1360 of the family's 1533-position model. The record is from RNAcentral.